This is a non-coding RNA of Nicotiana tabacum (common tobacco), 1041 nucleotides long. The record is from RefSeq and is a predicted model, not a curated record. NCBI's taxonomy places the organism in Eukaryota, Viridiplantae, Streptophyta, Magnoliopsida, Solanales, Solanaceae.
UGUUCUCCACAAUCAUCAUCAUUAUCAUAAUGAGCACUGUAAACUUCUUCACUCUCGGAAUAAAGAUGAAUUUUAGAUCAAUAGCAGCAGAUAUUUGUGGUUUCACAAUUUCUAUCCUCUUCUUAGUGCAUUACAUAGAAAAAUUGAUCAUGUGUAAAGCUCAAAGCAGAAACAUCUAUGCCCCACAUGCAUUUUAAAAAUUAAUUUUCAUGUUCACAGGUAUUCAUUCUUAUUUUUACUUUUUACAGGUACCUUCUUUAUUGAGUGCACAGAAACCGCGUCAGUUCUUCAAAAUGCUACAUGCAAUUCCCUUGUUCUUCUGGAUGAAUUGGGCAGAGGAACAAGCACUUUUGAUGGAUAUGCUAUUGCAUAUGCUGUAUUCCAACACCUUAUAGAGACGGUGAACUGCCGCUUAUUGUUUGCCACGCAUUAUCAUCCACUCACUAAAGAGUUUGCUUCUCAUCCUAAUGUGACAUUACAACACAUGGCCUGCUCUUUCAAGUUGAAAUCUCAAAGUUCAUCUCCAACAGAACAAGAGCUGGUGUUCCUUUACCGUCUAGCCUCUGGAGCAUGCCCUAUUUGAUACAUUGUAUUGCUUGUGGCAUGAACUAAAGUUGAUAGAUCCUUUACUGCAUGAAGAAUGGUUCAAGACACUUCUAGAAAUCUCAAAGACAGAUGGUGAAGUUAACGAUGACCUAUUUGAUACAUUGUAUUGCUUGUGGCAUGAACUAAAGUUGAGAGAUCCACUAGCUGAAGAUGUUAGUCUUUGAGUUAUCUUGUAUAUUCGUGAAACUCUUCAGUGGGAAAUGCCGAUGAGAUUAUGAUACUAACUGGAAGGUAGGAAAGCUUAUUGUUGGAGUUUGUAUUAUGUUGUCUGUUCUAUAAGAGAAGCAAGGUUAGUAAAUACUUUGCUUUAUGGAAAGAGGCAAAAGAAACUGCAAUGUUGUAAAAUUGUCCUAUACUCCAAGAGAAUCUUUGCCGUUAUGGUUGCUUGAUGAAGAGUUAAUAUGGAGUGAAUAGAAUGUUAAGAAAUUAAUUGAA